AUGAUGACUCUUGGCAACGGAUAUCUCGGCUCUUGCAUCGAUGAAGAACGUAGUGAAAUGUGAUACCUGGUGUGAAUUGCAGAAUCCCGUGAACCAUCGAAUCUUUGAAUGCAAGUUGCGCCCGAGGCCACCCGGCCGAGGGCACGCCUGCCUGGGCAUCAUGC
Molecule: ribosomal RNA, 164 nt
Filed under: Pinanga brevipes
Lineage: Eukaryota; Viridiplantae; Streptophyta; Magnoliopsida; Arecales; Arecaceae
Description: 5.8S rRNA
Rfam family: 5.8S ribosomal RNA
About the family: 5.8S ribosomal RNA (5.8S rRNA) is a component of the large subunit of the eukaryotic ribosome. It is transcribed by RNA polymerase I as part of the 45S precursor that also contains 18S and 28S rRNA. Functionally, it is thought that 5.8S rRNA may be involved in ribosome translocation.
Source: RNAcentral